AGUGAACGCUGGCGGUAGGCCUAACACAUGCAAGUCGAACGGCAGCACAGUAAGAGCUUGCUCUUACGGGUGGCGAGUGGCGGACGGGUGAGGAAUACAUCGGAAUCUACUUUUUCGUGGGGGAUAACGUAGGGAAACUUACGCUAAUACCGCAUACGCCCUACGGGGGAAAGCAGGGGAUCUUCGGACCUUGCGCGAUUGAAUGAGCCGAUGACGGAUUAGAUAGUUGGCGGGGUAAAGGCCCACCAAGGCGACGAUCCGUAGCUGGUCUGAGAGGAUGAUAGGCCACACUGGAACUGAGACACGGUCCAGACGCCUGCGGGAGGCAGCAGUGGGGAAUAUUGGACAAUGGGCGCAAGCAUGAUCCAGCCAUACCGCGUGGGUGAAGAAGGCCUUCGGGUUGUAAAGCCCUUUUGUUGGGAAAGAAAGGCAGCAGGUUAAUACCCCGCUGUUCUGACGGUACCCAAAGAAUAAGCACCGGCUAACUUCGUG
RNAcentral lists this ribosomal RNA (492 nucleotides) under uncultured bacterium. Its description in RNAcentral is "partial 16S ribosomal RNA". It matches the Rfam family "Bacterial small subunit ribosomal RNA", at positions 29 to 507 of the family's 1533-position model. The record is from RNAcentral.